CAGCCGCCGCGGUAAUACGAAGGGGGCUAGCGUUGCUCGGAAUGACUGGGCGUAAAGGGCGCGUAGGCGGCAUGUACAGUCAGACGUGAAAUUCCUGGGCUUAACCUGGGGGCUGCGUUUGAUACGUGCAGGCUAGAGUGGGGAAGAGGGUUGUGGAAUUCCCAGUGUAGAGGUGAAAUUCGUAGAUAUUGGGAAGAACACCGGUGGCGAAGGCGGCAACCUGGUCCUUGACUGACGCUGAGGCGCGAAAGCGUGGGGAGCAAACAGGAUUAGAUACCCCCGUAGUCCCUGUCUCUUAUAA
Molecule: ribosomal RNA, 301 nt
Filed under: uncultured bacterium
Lineage: Bacteria
Description: partial 16S ribosomal RNA
Rfam family: Bacterial small subunit ribosomal RNA
Source: RNAcentral